AACGUAGGGGCGAGCGUUGUCCGGAAUUACUGGGCGUAAAGGGCGCGUAGGUGGUUAUCCAAGUCAGGGGUGAAAACUCUGGGCUCAACCCAGAGCGUGCCUUUGAAACUGGGUAACUUGAGGGCAGGAGAGGGGAGUGGAAUUCCCAGUGUAGCGGUGAAAUGCGUAGAUAUUGGGAGGAACACCAGUGCGAAGGCGGCUCUCUGGCCUAACCCUGACGCUGAGGCGCGAAAGCGUGGGGAUCAAACAGGAUUAGAUACCCUGGUAGUCCCUGAGCGGGCU
RNAcentral lists this ribosomal RNA (282 nucleotides) under uncultured prokaryote. Its description in RNAcentral is "partial 16S ribosomal RNA". It matches the Rfam family "Bacterial small subunit ribosomal RNA", at positions 524 to 817 of the family's 1533-position model. The record is from RNAcentral.